RNAcentral lists this ribosomal RNA (253 nucleotides) under uncultured bacterium. Its description in RNAcentral is "partial 16S ribosomal RNA". It matches the Rfam family "Bacterial small subunit ribosomal RNA", at positions 524 to 776 of the family's 1533-position model. The record is from RNAcentral.
UACGGAGGGUGCAAGCGUUAUCCGGAUUCACUGGGUUUAAAGGGAGCGCAGGCGGAUUUGUAAGUCAGUGGUGAAAGGCUUAAGCUUAACUUGGGAACUGCCAUUGAUACUAUAAGUCUUGAAUGUUGUUGAGGUUUGCGGAAUGGGUCAUGUAGCGGUGAAAUGCAUAGAUAUGACCCGGAACACCUAUUGCGAAGGCAGCAGGCUAAACAAAUAUUGACGCUCAGGCGCGACAGCGUGGGGAUCAAACAGG